RNAcentral lists this long non-coding RNA (503 nucleotides) under Monodelphis domestica (gray short-tailed opossum). Its description in RNAcentral is "lncRNA (ENSMODG00000041468.1)". Lineage: Eukaryota; Metazoa; Chordata; Mammalia; Didelphimorphia; Didelphidae. The record is from RNAcentral.
AGAGAGAAAGAGAGAGAGAGAGACAGAGAGAGACAGAGAGACAGAGACAGAGACAGAGACAGAGAGAGAAAGAGAGACACUAAGUGUGUCCAGUAGAAAUGAUCAAUGAGUUAAAUUCCAUUUAGCUUUCCUCCCUCUCACUAAAGGACUCAAGAUGGGUAUCCCUGUGAUGAUGUUUGAGCAGGGAUGGUCAGAGACUGCUGCCUAGACAAGAGAUUUCUGUGGGUUGAGGAAUAGACUUUUUCCUAGGGCUUUGCUGAAACCUGGGACCCAAGAAAGCCUCCUCUGGGAAGAGCCCUGUCUGGAAAGGCUGAAUGGCUGUCAGCUCUGGAUUUUGUUUUGACCAAAGCUUGAUGGAGGAUAUAUUGAUACCACUAAGGGGAAAAUUGUGAUCUAGAAGGUAUACCCAUUAUUUCUUUAAUUUCUUCUUCACUCAUAUGGUACAUUUAGUAUUUUCCCUAAUAAUAAUAUUUUUCUUUAUUUUUAAGACAAAUUAACCAGUG